GGGGAAAAUGCGUACCUGCACCAUCGCUUGGAAAACCUUACCCAAGCAUUGCACGACCUGAGAAAACUCCUGGAUCACUCAAAAGAUCAUGAAUUUUCUGAAGCCAGGGUAGAACAUGACAGUGACCAGUUACAUGCCUGGAAUGAAUGGAUUCAUAAUGGUAUCAGUGUUGAAACACACCGCAUGUUGGAACAAGCACUUUGUUUGCCUGAUGUUCAUGACUCUGCCACAUCAUCUUUUCAAGCCAGUUUUCUUUUGUCUUGUACUAUUAUAAGCAAUUUCAUUUUCUUCUAGUUACAGUAUGUACCCUGAACGUAAGGUUUUGGCCCAUUAUGACUGUUUAUGACUGUAGACUGUAGACUUAUUUUUUCAUGUUAUUAAGAUAUUUUUUCUUUGGAAUUAUUACAUAAGGUUCUCUUUAUGUAGCUAGCCCUUGUAGCUCCUACGAUCCAGCAGUGAUUUUGUAGAAGAGCUUAUUGUAAAUCAGCAGUCAGCAGUGCUCUUCACCAUACCAUCUUGUAAACAAUGCCACUACUCAGAAAAUUUCAUGACUAAGAUGCAUUAUAGUAAGUAUUAUAAUCUAGAACUGUAGGUAGGUGACAAAUAAAAGGUAAGAAAAUACAAAUGAGGUGUUGGACAGUCAAUUAGCCACAACAGCUUCAAUGUACCAUGGUAUAAAUUUGACAGGUCUCUAAAACUGUAAGGUUUUACAAAACUUUAUGUUACUUGAAGAUUUUACCUAAGUUGGUGUUAGUUUAUAGUGGUGGUUAUAAUCUUCCAGCAAAUAAAUUUGAGCCUUAACAAUUGGA
Long non-coding RNA from Trichomycterus rosablanca, 809 nucleotides. RefSeq lists it as uncharacterized. NCBI's taxonomy places the organism in Eukaryota, Metazoa, Chordata, Actinopteri, Siluriformes, Trichomycteridae. The record is from RefSeq and is a predicted model, not a curated record. The transcript is spliced from 3 exons.